This 1386-nucleotide long non-coding RNA is filed under the name Sus scrofa (pig). Its description in RNAcentral is "lncRNA (ENSSSCG00000061686.1, ENSSSCG00130032312.1, ENSSSCG00180037858.1)". The record is from RNAcentral. Lineage: Eukaryota; Metazoa; Chordata; Mammalia; Artiodactyla; Suidae.
GGAUUGCUUGCUUAAUUCAAAGGCAGCUGGGAGACAAGAAGCUGGAAAAACUUGUACGUGAGUCACAGCAGUAGUGGGGCAGUGAUGGUACUGAGGUGGAGAACUGGGUGGUGUCAGUGAGGGAACAGCUGGACUAAAUUCUCAUGUGUAUCUAAAAAUGAAGAAGACAUCUGGGAUGGCCACGGAAGAGGCAUGAGCUCCAGAGUUUGACUGACAGGAGUUUUUCUCUAGCAAAUACUUUGACUGCUUUUAAGGAAGAUUCCAGUUCACUGGUUAUCAUACUUGCCCUUCUGAAAUAGAAACUAUUCCCUACAUUGAAGCAUUUAAUAGUCGAAGCAUAGGUUGUCACAGUGUUUAAAUUACAAAUCUGUACUCGAGCAGAAUAUUCUAGAAAAAGAAAGCUAUGCCUAGCAAAUGCUUUUGUCUUUACUUUUUUAAGCAUCUGGUUUUUAAACAAAAGUAAUACAUGCACAUAAUUUCUAAAGUCAACUACUCCCUAUUUUAUGACUAAAAAAUUAUUGCUUUAUCUCUUCUCCUCUCCCUAUUUCUCAAUGUUGGUAUGCAUUACUACUUCUUUAUCUCUUUCUUUUGGUUUUACCUCAAGAGUUUUAAGUACAUAAUUGCAAAGCUAUUUAUUUUACUCACAGUCUUAUAUGCUAUCUAUUAAAUUAUUUCCUUUAAAAAUGGUACAUUAACUCUCUUACAAGUCUUCCCCAAAGAGUUAUGUCAUCUUUUUGAAUUAAAUAGAUUCUCAGAUAUUACGUAAUUAUAACUAUUUAAAUUUUUUGUUCUUGUAGAUUUAGUCAUUAUCCUUUUUUUUUUUGUCCUUUAUCUUUUUAGGUCUGCACUCAUGGCAUUUGGAGGUUUCCAGGCUAGGGGUCUACUCGGAGCUGUAGCUGCUGGCCUAUGCCACAGCCAUAGCAAUACUAAAAGUUUUUUUCUAUAUAUUCAUACUCAUCAAAUAUUCUUUCAAUUUUUUUUCCUUAGAGACAUCUUCUUCAGGAAUCCAUCCUUCUGCUCCAUUUUCUCUCCUGGCUUAUGCACAAGGGUCAUCUUAACAAUUCACCUUAAAGUUCCAUUUGCCUUUCUCUUCUAUUGGAUCCCCUAUUUUCUAGAUCCCUUUAUCAUCUUUCUGGAUUUAUUCUAUUAACUUCUUAAGAAAACUUUUUCACCUGAAUGCUACAUUAAAAAACCGAUUUCUUUAAUUUAAAAAUUUUCUGGAGGAGUUCCCAUUGUGGCUCAGUGAUUAACAAAUCCGACUAGGAACCAUGAUGUUGUGGGUUCAAUCCCUGGCCUCACUCAGUGGGUUAAGGAUCCAGCAUUGCCAUGAGCUAUGGUGUAGGCCAGUGGCUACAGCUCCAAUUUGACCCCUGGCCUGGGAACCUC